GGUGCUGUAGCUCAGUUGGUAGAGCAUUGGUCUGAAGAACCAAGUGUCAGAAGUUCGAAUCUUCUCAGCACCA
This 73-nucleotide transfer RNA is filed under the name Bacteriophage sp. RNAcentral's name for it is "tRNA-Phe". It matches the Rfam family "tRNA". From Rfam's summary of the family: Transfer RNA (tRNA) molecules are approximately 80 nucleotides in length. Their secondary structure includes four short double-helical elements and three loops (D, anti-codon, and T loops). Further hydrogen bonds mediate the characteristic L-shaped molecular structure. tRNAs have two regions of fundamental functional importance: the anti-codon, which is responsible for specific mRNA codon recognition, and the 3' end, to which the tRNAs corresponding amino acid is attached (by aminoacyl-tRNA synthetases). tRNAs cope with the degeneracy of the genetic code in two manners: having more than one tRNA (with a specific anti-codon) for a particular amino acid; and 'wobble' base-pairing, i.e. permitting non-standard base-pairing at the 3rd anti-codon position. The record is from RNAcentral.